This is a long non-coding RNA of Cyprinus carpio carpio, 989 nucleotides long. Lineage: Eukaryota; Metazoa; Chordata; Actinopteri; Cypriniformes; Cyprinidae. The record is from Ensembl.
UGUUUUCCCGAUGCCUGUUUUAUAGUCGCACCGGUAGUGACGUCAGAGGCUGUCGCCGGCCAACUCGUUGGUGUUUUUUCAUUUGUAUGCUUCAGACACGGGUCACGACGAGGUGUUCCCCAUAGCGACCCCUAGAGGACGCAGUUCGAAGUUCCCUUGAAAGGGAACAAUAGUUCUGGAAGUGCUGGUCUGAGCGUGCAGGUCUGAGUGUGCAGUUGGGCCUCCGGGCCUGCAAUGGCUCUCGCAAGAUUUCUGGAUCACUGUAAAGCUACGUACACACAAAGUGCCAGAAUUUUCCUCACGGAUAAUGUAUCCAGUGAUGUCCUGAGACCAGUGCUUGUAAGGUACCUUUGGGUAUCAAGCCCCACUGGUCCAGCAAGGUGAUUUUGGGCGACCCAGCUACCGUGUCACCAAAGAACAACUGAGAUUCCUGCUCUCAUAUGAAUUUACAGCUUCCCAGAUGUCUGAAGUCCUGGAAGUAUCAGUCAGUACAGUUAAACGGAGACAGAGGUAGUAAGAACAACAGUUCCAUACACACACACAUACUUCUUCUUUUUCCUCAUUGCAGGGCAAUUUUUUUUAAAUAGUUAUUUUUUAUAUAUGUUUAGAGAAAUAGGUAGACACUGCUCAUUUUAAGGUGCGUUGGGCAUCUCUAGGUCUUCAAAUUGUUAUUUUUGGUAAAUCUGUUCUCCAAGGAGACCAGAAAGAGGACAUGUCACUUGCUAUGACGUAGCCGGUCUGAUAAAUUUGUAUCCAAGUAAUAGAACAAGUGUUCUUCCUUUGUUUUACUGACAUCUGCCCAGUCAUGUUUGUCUAUGUAUUUUAUUAGUUUGCCAGCAGUAAAUUAACUUCUUCUGAAUAAAGCAGAAGCUAAUUUAUCAUGAUAAAUGCAAUAAUGUAUUUGAUCUGGCUACUGUUAGCAAAUAUUUUUUUUUUAAAUCACUUAUGACACAUGUACAAGCAAGACAUGCUAUUUUGAGCAUGAAAAC